This 1373-nucleotide ribosomal RNA is filed under the name Lactiplantibacillus plantarum. Its description in RNAcentral is "bacterial SSU rRNA". It matches the Rfam family "Bacterial small subunit ribosomal RNA", at positions 70 to 1410 of the family's 1533-position model. The record is from RNAcentral. Lineage: Bacteria; Bacillati; Bacillota; Bacilli; Lactobacillales; Lactobacillaceae.
CUCUGGUAUUGAUUGGUGCUUGCAUCAUGAUUUACAUUUGAGUGAGUGGCGAACUGGUGAGUAACACGUGGGAAACCUGCCCAGAAGCGGGGGAUAACACCUGGAAACAGAUGCUAAUACCGCAUAACAACUUGGACCGCAUGGUCCGAGCUUGAAAGAUGGCUUCGGCUAUCACUUUUGGAUGGUCCCGCGGCGUAUUAGCUAGAUGGUGGGGUAACGGCUCACCAUGGCAAUGAUACGUAGCCGACCUGAGAGGGUAAUCGGCCACAUUGGGACUGAGACACGGCCCAAACUCCUACGGGAGGCAGCAGUAGGGAAUCUUCCACAAUGGACGAAAGUCUGAUGGAGCAACGCCGCGUGAGUGAAGAAGGGUUUCGGCUCGUAAAACUCUGUUGUUAAAGAAGAACAUAUCUGAGAGUAACUGUUCAGGUAUUGACGGUAUUUAACCAGAAAGCCACGGCUAACUACGUGCCAGCAGCCGCGGUAAUACGUAGGUGGCAAGCGUUGUCCGGAUUUAUUGGGCGUAAAGCGAGCGCAGGCGGUUUUUUAAGUCUGAUGUGAAAGCCUUCGGCUCAACCGAAGAAGUGCAUCGGAAACUGGGAAACUUGAGUGCAGAAGAGGACAGUGGAACUCCAUGUGUAGCGGUGAAAUGCGUAGAUAUAUGGAAGAACACCAGUGGCGAAGGCGGCUGUCUGGUCUGUAACUGACGCUGAGGCUCGAAAGUAUGGGUAGCAAACAGGAUUAGAUACCCUGGUAGUCCAUACCGUAAACGAUGAAUGCUAAGUGUUGGAGGGUUUCCGCCCUUCAGUGCUGCAGCUAACGCAUUAAGCAUUCCGCCUGGGGAGUACGGCCGCAAGGCUGAAACUCAAAGGAAUUGACGGGGGCCCGCACAAGCGGUGGAGCAUGUGGUUUAAUUCGAAGCUACGCGAAGAACCUUACCAGGUCUUGACAUACUAUGCAAAUCUAAGAGAUUAGACGUUCCCUUCGGGGACAUGGAUACAGGUGGUGCAUGGUUGUCGUCAGCUCGUGUCGUGAGAUGUUGGGUUAAGUCCCGCAACGAGCGCAACCCUUAUUAUCAGUUGCCAGCAUUAAGUUGGGCACUCUGGUGAGACUGCCGGUGACAAACCGGAGGAAGGUGGGGAUGACGUCAAAUCAUCAUGCCCCUUAUGACCUGGGCUACACACGUGCUACAAUGGAUGGUACAACGAGUUGCGAACUCGCGAGAGUAAGCUAAUCUCUUAAAGCCAUUCUCAGUUCGGAUUGUAGGCUGCAACUCGCCUACAUGAAGUCGGAAUCGCUAGUAAUCGCGGAUCAGCAUGCCGCGGUGAAUACGUUCCCGGGCCUUGUACACACCGCCCGUCACACCAUGAGAG